CUUUGGAUCACAUUUUAUACCAAGCCUUUUGCUCAAGUACCAGCAUUUGAAGAUGGGGACUUGAAGCUCUUUGAAUCAAGGGCAAUCACUCAAUACAUUGCUCAUGUUUAUGCUAGCAAUGGCAUUCAACUAAUACUCCAAGAUCCAAUGAAAAUGGCCAUUAUGUCAGUAUGGAUGGAAGUAGAAGGCCAAAAAUUUGAACCACCAGCUUCAAAAUUAACAUGGGAGCUAGUCAUAAAACCAAUGAUUGGCUUGGGCAGUACCGAUGAUGUUAUUGUGAAGGAAAGUGAAGAACAAUUGUCUAAGGUUCUUGACAUCUACGAAACUCGAUUGACAGAGUCAAAAUACUUGGGUGGCGACUCCUUUACACUUGUUGAUUUGCAUCAUAUACCAAAUAUAUACCACCUGAUGAAUACAAAAGCUAAGGCACUGUUUGAUUCGCGCCCUCGUGUGAGUGUAUGGUGUGCUGAUAUAAUGGCUAGGCCAGCUUGGGUGAAGGGGUUGGAGAAGAU
RNAcentral lists this unclassified non-coding RNA (512 nucleotides) under Hevea brasiliensis (rubber tree). The record is from RNAcentral. Lineage: Eukaryota; Viridiplantae; Streptophyta; Magnoliopsida; Malpighiales; Euphorbiaceae.